GGUCUCAUGGUGUAAUGGUUAGCACUCUGGACUUUGAAUCCAGCGAUCCAAGUUCAAAUCUCGGUGACACCU
This 72-nucleotide transfer RNA is filed under the name Rhipicephalus microplus (southern cattle tick). Its description in RNAcentral is "tRNA-Gln". It matches the Rfam family "tRNA". Rfam says of the family: Transfer RNA (tRNA) molecules are approximately 80 nucleotides in length. Lineage: Eukaryota; Metazoa; Arthropoda; Arachnida; Ixodida; Ixodidae. The record is from Rfam by way of RNAcentral.